GAAACCUUGUCUCAUAGCUAUCCACCAUUAUUUGUCAAAAUACAUGUUUCCUCAUGGCACAGAAAGCAAAUUUCUACCCAUAAAAUAUGUUCAAUGUGAGGGGAAAACAGGUAUGUGCGUUGCACUGCCGAACAAAGGUGCAACGAGGUACAAUUCCUGCUGUGCAGGGUGUCCCCAGUUGACAACCAUGAACAAAAAAUUCAACGUAACAGAUGUACCCAGGCUACAAAUUAGAUUGAAUACAGAGAUUCUAGUAUUCGGGCUGCUUUAUUUCCUCACUCAUUUGCUGGGAAAGGGAAAACAUGAUCUUACAAAGGAAUUGAAAACGACUUCUUCAGCUUCUCUACCUCCAAAUAAGCAUUAGAGUAUGGGAGAAACUCCGAGAAAUGGCUUUGCAUAAGAUCAUUGAUGGCCACAGCGAGCUUUGGAAUCUCCAUUAUCUCUUCGUUGGUCAGCUUCCUAACAAACCUGGCAGGGUUGCCAGCCCAGAGUUCGCCAGUCGGAAUCCUCCUCCCUGGGGCCAGGACGGAGCCAGCUUCAAGGACUGAGUUAGUUUCAACCAAUGAG
RNAcentral lists this long non-coding RNA (567 nucleotides) under Triticum aestivum (bread wheat). Its description in RNAcentral is "long non-coding RNA (TAES_LNC013260)". The record is from RNAcentral. Lineage: Eukaryota; Viridiplantae; Streptophyta; Magnoliopsida; Poales; Poaceae.